Molecule: non-coding RNA, 133 nt
Filed under: Caballeronia choica
Lineage: Bacteria; Pseudomonadati; Pseudomonadota; Betaproteobacteria; Burkholderiales; Burkholderiaceae
Description: Burkholderia choica Glycine sequence
Rfam family: Glycine riboswitch aptamer
About the family: This family represents the bacterial glycine riboswitch. Glycine riboswitches usually consist of two metabolite-binding aptamers domains with similar structures in tandem. The aptamers cooperatively bind glycine to regulate the expression of downstream genes.
Source: RNAcentral
UCUUCGCACUCUGGAGAGCGGCACGGCUUCGACAUCGACAACACGUCGGCCAGUGCCCACCGAAGGGGCGCGCGAGGGAUUCUGCACGCAGAAUCCGCGCAAUCUCUCAGGUACCGAGGACAGAGGGGUCAUG